GAUGAACGCUGGCGGCGUGCCUAAUACAUGCAAGUCGAGCGAACAGACGAGGAGCUUGCUCCUCUGACGUUAGCGGCGGACGGGUGAGUAACACGUGGAUAACCUACCUAUAAGACUGGGAUAACUUCGGGAAACCGGAGCUAAUACCGGAUAAUAUAUUGAACCGCAUGGUUCAAUAGUGAAAGACGGUUUUGCUGUCACUUAUAGAUGGAUCCGCGCCGCAUUAGCUAGUUGGUAAGGUAACGGCUUACCAAGGCAACGAUGCGUAGCCGACCUGAGAGGGUGAUCGGCCACACUGGAACUGAGACACGGGCCAGACGCCUACGGGAGGCAGCAGUAGGGAAUCUUCCGCAAUGGGCGAAAGCCUGACGGAGCAACGCCGCGUGAGUGAUGAAGGUCUUCGGAUCGUAAAACUCUGUUAUUAGGGAAGAACAAAUGUGUAAGUAACUAUGCACGUCUUGACGGUACCUAAUCAGAAAGCCACGGCUAACUACGU
Molecule: ribosomal RNA, 496 nt
Filed under: uncultured bacterium
Lineage: Bacteria
Description: partial 16S ribosomal RNA
Rfam family: Bacterial small subunit ribosomal RNA
Source: RNAcentral